This 2030-nucleotide long non-coding RNA is filed under the name Homo sapiens (human). RNAcentral's name for it is "non-protein coding lnc-LRRC47-78:15". The record is from RNAcentral. Lineage: Eukaryota; Metazoa; Chordata; Mammalia; Primates; Hominidae.
CGCGGCGCCGCGGCGCCCGGGUGUGGAUCCCUAGAUGGGAGCCGGGGAUGGGCCGGGUGCCUGGUGGGUGGCAGUCGGGGCUGACGGCGGCGGCACUUUGCCGCCUCAGGCCCUGGACACCUUCACCCCGCCGCCUGCCCAGGCGGGCCGGCCCUGCCCGUCCACCGGCCGCCGAGAGUCCCCGGCCUUGGGUCCCCGGGGCCGCUGACUGGCCUCGGUCACCUCCCGGGGAAGGCUCCCGCGCCUCCAUCUGCCCCCGCAGGAAGGGACCCUCUUCUCGCCCGCGAGGCUUCUCCGGGUGGGAUCGUCCUGGCCCCCAGCCCUAAGGGAUCCGCCCCCUCCGAGCAUCCGCCGCCCCUCGGAGACCACUCCAGCUCGGACGGACCCACUCCAGCCCCCGCUGCACGCGGAAGCGCUCAUCCUCCCCGCCUGCCCCGUUCCCUCCCCCUUCUCCUGUGGGACAACCAGGGACCGCAGCUCCCCGCUCCCCAGGUGUGGGGGCUCCGACACGAACGCCUCUGCUCGCAGGGCGGUGAGCGCAGAUCCCACGGGUCCCUCGGUCGGGGGUCGAGGCUGCUUCCGUUUCCAUCCCGGACCCGACAAUGGGCGGGAAAAAGAAGGCUUUACACGACUACGCGGCGGAGUUCACCGACCUGGUGGUGAAGCACCUGAUUGAGCACAGUGACUCUGGGGACACGUCUGUGGUGGAGACCCUUUACUGCAGGGCCUGCGAGCUGCCCGUGCGCGUGCGGAGGGACCGCAUCCUGGAACACCUGUCCUCGGGCAGGCAGCACGGCCUGCGGACGCCCAUUCUCAUGUAAAUGUCAGUGCCAACGCUGGUGUUUCAGGAGUCAUCCCAGCGGGCUGCGGGCUAUUUUAGGAUUCUCUGCCCUGCAAACGUUUCCAAAGUACGUGGACAGGCCGCCUGAUGACACUACGUUUACGGGAUCUGCUAGUGGCUUGCCUACUUAGGGAGUAAACCCUGUGAAGUCUCGCAGUUUUGUUAAAGUGUGCGUGGCCACCUGAAUGCUGCCUUAUCACAAGCCAGAUACAUACUGGUCUGUAGGGUAACUCCCCACUGUUGAUCCUCUGAGAUGAUUGUGGACUGGGUGCUGUGAGUCCUGCCACUUUGUUUAAGUGAAUGUGUCUUUUGUCCAGCUCAGCCGCCUCGGAUCUCGCUGCCACCAGCCUUACUGCACACCCGUGCCACCCGCCCUUGCCCCGUCAGCCUCAGCCUCAGCUCAUUCUCUCAGGCAGUCCCAGCAUUGGCACGGUACCUCCUCCCGCUGUGGGCCACACGUCUCUGCUCCCUGUCAACCCUCCUGCCAUCAGCACCACCACCAGCGACUUGUCUGCCCGGGAGGAUGCAACACCAUCUGCCUCCACCGGCCACCUUUCAGUGUUUCCUGCUUUCCAAGUAAAGAUACCAGCAGUGCCCUCAGAGCAGACCAGCCAGAGUUUUUCUGAAGCCUCCCACAGGGUGCUCCCCGGAGGAGGCCCGAGAUGCUCUCGUGACUUUGGAGCCGGGGUGGCUGGCCACCUUGGCCUGGGCAUCUUUGGGGUGGGCUUCGGGAGCCCGGCACUGCUGCAGAGUGUGGUGGAUGAGAACAGCUGCUGCUUGCUGUACGUGGUGGAGGACCAGCUGUGUGAUGUGGAGCAAGCCUUCAGAGCUGAGCAUUUGGGCCAACACCAGAGUGGUUCGGGAACAGGAUGCAGACAUUGUCCUCAACGACCAGCGGCACUUUGAUCCGGUUUUCCAGUUCUUGCACAAGCAAGUUUGUGUCAGCCACGCCCUGGGGAGGAUCCACUGGAUCACCGCCGUCACUGCCUGUUCCCGGCGGCCUCUCCGGCUUCCCUAAAGAGAGCAGGUGGGACUUUCUACAACGCUGCUGUGCACGACGUGGAUGCCGUAUGCAUGUUGCUGGGGGAAGCCACUCCGGACACUGUGUUUUCUCUGGGACAUGUCUUCUGCCCAGAUGAAAACUCAGCCUGUAAUCAGUCUGAUUGGUGUGAACAGCGACCAUUCAGAG